CCUUCACGAUUCACUGUUCAUCUUUUGCUUCCUUUUUACGUAACUCUGAAAAGNCUUUUCAGAGUUACGUAAAAAGGAAGCAAAAGAUGAACAGUGAAUCGUGAAGGAUGCGCAAGAAAUAUGAAACGUGAUUUGGU
RNAcentral lists this small RNA (137 nucleotides) under Olea europaea subsp. europaea. Lineage: Eukaryota; Viridiplantae; Streptophyta; Magnoliopsida; Lamiales; Oleaceae. The record is from RNAcentral.